UACGAAGGGGGCUAGCGUUGCUCGGAAUUACUGGGCGUAAAGCGCACGUAGGCGGCUUUGUAAGUUAGAGGUGAAAGCCCGGGGCUCAACUCCGGAAUUGCCUUUAAGACUGCAUCGCUUGAGUUGUGGAGAGGUAAGUGGAAUUCCGAGUGUAGAGGUGAAAUUCGUAGAUAUUCGGAAGAACACCAGUGGCGAAGGCGACUUACUGGACACAUACUGACGCUGAGGUGCGAAAGCGUGGGGAGCAAACAGG
This 253-nucleotide ribosomal RNA is filed under the name uncultured bacterium. RNAcentral's name for it is "partial 16S ribosomal RNA". It matches the Rfam family "Bacterial small subunit ribosomal RNA", at positions 524 to 776 of the family's 1533-position model. The record is from RNAcentral.